CCUACGGGAGGCAGCAGUGGGGGAUAUUGCACAAUGGGGGGAACCCUGAUGCAGCGACGCCGCGUGGGUGAAGGAGUGCUUCGGCAUGUAAAGCUCUAUCGGCAGGGAAGAAGCAAGACGGUACCUGACUAAGAAGUCCCGGCUAACUACGUGCCAGCAGCCGCGGUAAUACGGAGGGGGCGAGCGUUAUCCGGAUUCACUGGGUGUAAAGGGAGCGUAGACGGCCAUGCAAGCCAGGGGUGAAAGCCCGGGGCCCACCCGCGGGACUGCCGUUGGAACUGGAUGGCUGGAGUGCGGGAGGGGCAGGCGGAAUUCGUGGUGUAGCGGUGAAAUGCGUAGAUAUUAGGAGGAACAUCAGUGGCGAAGGCGACUUUCUGGACUGUAACUGACGCUGAGGCACGAAAGUGUGGGGAGCAAACAGGAUUAGAUACCCGUGUAGUC
This 441-nucleotide ribosomal RNA is filed under the name uncultured bacterium. RNAcentral describes it as "partial 16S ribosomal RNA". It matches the Rfam family "Bacterial small subunit ribosomal RNA", at positions 338 to 795 of the family's 1533-position model. The record is from RNAcentral.